UCUUGUUUCUAUUCUUUUAAUCGCUCCCUUCCUGGGUUUUAUAUUGCACGCCCGGUCUUCCAGCGUCAUGGUUACUGUAGUAAACAAACUGAAGGUCUGAAUGCAUCUUUUUCUCCCCCUGUAGCAUGAAGAGCAGUUCGCGGUAUCCGGUAGAUAGGAAGCACAAAUAGGCUCUCCUGUUCGUCCUCCAGGGGCCCACGCUAGCCCCUCACCUCCCCUGAAGCCUUUUCUAACCGCUGCGGCCUCCGUGGUCCCCCACGCCUGUGUUCCUGUAGGACGUUUACAGUUCACACGAUGUCUCAUCUCUCGGUAUAUGUCUCCCAGAAACGAAAAUGGACGGCCAUAUGUCACAAGAGAAUGAAAUCUUUGCUCCCAAUCCCUGUCUUCAGAGCUGACCUAGAAGCCAGCCACUCCACUCAGACCCAAUUCGGAUCACUAUGUUCGUGAGGACUUUAACAGCAUCAGGAUUACAAGAAAAAACAAAGUAUUGUAGGUAAAAACAAUACAGCCAAGAAACGUCAUCUUAUGUUUAUACAUUUAGAAGCAUCCUUUGGAGCAGGAAGAACUUAAAUUCUAAAUCUCAAGAUAGCUAAAACAGAUGCACUAUUCCAAGGAGCCAGCAAGGAAAAUACAAUCCUGCUUCUCAAACACAUCCCCUGGAAUUGGUCGCAAGUUAUCUUCAGAGAAGAGAAUUGUCACCAGAUUAAGAGAGUAAAGGACCCGAUGACAAGCACGCCUGCAUUGCAUUCACAGGGCUGGCUUUCAGUUCUCCAAAAAAUUCAUGUCAUUGCCUAAAAAUUACUAAUGGAAAUUGGUACGCAGACAGAUACAAUACUGUUGUUGUUUUUGGUUGUGGUUUUACUUCUACUAAAGCCCACAGCACUGCUGAGGAAUUAUCCUCUGAACUGAAAAGUCCUAAAGUUAGGCUUGUAUUUGACUUCAAACAAUAAACCCCAUGCUGAAAAUGGCUUCAGCAGAUACAGCUCUUCCCUCCAGUGAGCAGGCAGUGAGGAGCAGGCAACCCAGUCUCCUUCUGACUUCCUGUUUAUGUUCCAAGCAGGAAGAAGGGAGAAAGACAAGAAUGCAAAAGGCAGAAUGGGCAUCCAGUCUCAUCUGUCCGUUUUAAAAGCUUUCCUAGAAGCUCUACCCAGCAACUCCCACGCCCAUCUCAUUGACGAGAACUGGGUCACAUGACCACUACUCCUGGCGAAGGAGUCUAAGAGGUGAAUGUUUUCAUCUUCUUACUUCUCCAUUAGAGGAAAGCAGGGAGAAAGGAGUUGUGUGUGCCAGUGGGGCCAGUUCACAAUGUUUGCCACACUAGGGCUAUAAGAGAUCUUGGGUAAUUCUGCAAAUCUGUUUUUCUGCCCCACAUAAGAUUAUUUCCCAAAGAUAAUGCUCUCCUUUAGAGUAUGUGGUGAAUGCUGCAAUACAGAAAAGGAUCUCUUGCCCCUCACCCCUUCACAGCAGAACAAAACAGCAAGACUUUCCUUUUAGAAAGCAGAUGCCUUGGGAGCUACUUCACCUGGGGCCAAACGUAUCCUCUCAGCAGCAGAGGUGAUUAUUUUUCUUAAUUACUAUUGCUUUGCAUCUUGUUAUGUGAGCUGUCAGCGUCUUAAUUUAGCUGAUGACUUUCUACAAUCAUUUUAGAUUUAUUUGGUACCUAAUUUACUUAACAUAGCUUUUGCUGUGAAAGUUAAUCCGAGGCCCAAAAACUCUUAAUAAGCUCAAUAUUUUACAGUGAACACUACCCUGAGGAUUGCUUUAUGAAAAUGAUGACAAGGCGCAGGGUCUGUAGCUUUCAGAAUCAAUAAGUCACUGACUAAUGAAUUAGAAAGGUCUUGAACUUCUACUUCAGUGCAGGCUUCAUGUACCAGAUGCACAAAUGAGCAUUAGUAAAUGGAGCUGGUUCUUAGUAGAAAAUUUCCAUUAAUCCAACACCGAGUGUAGAAGAAUCUCUGUAGUCUUGUAAAUAGACUUAAGAAUAAUUAUUAAGAAUUAAGAAUUAUUGUGAUUAAUUAAUUAAUUAAAAUGAUACUGGUUUUGCCACCAUUUCUUCAGGUAUUUCUCUUAAGAUGAAACUGUUUUGUUUUUCUGUUUCUACCAGUCCUGACUUUUGAUAUCAAUGGAAAUCAGCUUAGCAAAAACAAACAAAACAAAACAAAACAAAACACCCCUUUGAGCUAUCUCUCUCCAUAUACCACUUAGGGGUGAGUUCAAAAUGCAGGGACCCCUUCUGUGUAUUUUACAAUCCAAGACUGAAAAUACAAAUGAAGAGGAACACAGAGCAAUCAUAAAACAGGCAUACCACUUGACAAUGCAGCUAGCUGCCCCACCGACUGGAGCACCUCACGUGUGUG
Molecule: long non-coding RNA, 2357 nt
Filed under: Homo sapiens (human)
Lineage: Eukaryota; Metazoa; Chordata; Mammalia; Primates; Hominidae
Description: HSALNT0089418
Source: RNAcentral